CUAGUUGGAUAACUGAGGUAAUUCUUGAGCUAAUACACGCAAUCUAAGCCACAUCCGUGGUGCGUUUAUUUGAUUAAACUAGAAAUUGGUUGACUCAAAAUAUCUUUGCUGAACUACUCACGUAGUCAUGCCGUAUAAGUAUCUGCUUUAUCAACUUUCGAUGGUAGGGUAUUGGCCUACCAUGGUGUUGACGGAUAACGGAGAAUCAGGGUUCGACUCCGGAGAGGGAGCCUGAGAAACGGCUACCACAUCCAAGGAAGGCAGCAGGCGCGAAAAUUACCCAAUUUUAGUUAAAAGAGGUAGUGACGAAAAAUGACAAGGCUACAAAUUUUGUUUGUAGUCAUUGGAAAUCUUCGAGUCUAAAUAACUCGUUGGUAAAGGAAAGGGCAAGUCUGGUGCCAGCAGCCGCGGUAAUACCAGCUUUCCAAGUGCAUAAAAUGAUUGUUGUGGUUAAAAAGCUCGUAGUUGGAUUUUAACAGACUGUCUAUGAUCGUCAAUGACGUUUCAUAGCAUCUGCCAGCGAAUAUAACUAUUCGCUAGUUACUUUGAAUAAAUCAGAGUGUUCAAAACAGACUUACGUCCGUAUAUCCUAGCAUGGAAUAACACUAUAGCUCAAAAUUGUGUGGUUUCACUAUUUUGAUCAUGAUUAAUAGGAACAAACGGGGGCAUUCGUAU
RNAcentral lists this ribosomal RNA (675 nucleotides) under Rhabditophanes sp. 1 TWN1160. RNAcentral describes it as "SSU rRNA". It matches the Rfam family "Eukaryotic small subunit ribosomal RNA", at positions 135 to 897 of the family's 1831-position model. Lineage: Eukaryota; Metazoa; Nematoda; Chromadorea; Rhabditida; Alloionematidae. The record is from RNAcentral.